RNAcentral lists this ribosomal RNA (440 nucleotides) under uncultured bacterium. RNAcentral's name for it is "partial 16S ribosomal RNA". It matches the Rfam family "Bacterial small subunit ribosomal RNA", at positions 338 to 795 of the family's 1533-position model. The record is from RNAcentral.
CCUACGGGAGGCAGCAGUGGGGAAUAUUGCACAAUGGGGGGAACCCUGAUGCAGCAACGCCGCGUGGGUGAAGAAGUACUUCGGUAUGUAAAGCCCUGUCAGCAGGGAAAAAAAUGCCGGUACCUGACCAAGAAGCCCCGGCUAACUACGUGCCAGCAGCCGCGGUAAUACGUAGGGGGCAAGCGUUAUCCGGAUUUACUGGGUGUAAAGGGAGCGUAGUCGGGAAGUCAAGACUGGAGUGAAAGCCCGGGGCUCAACCACGGGACUGCUUUGGAAACUGUGUUGCUGGAGUGCAGGAGGGGUAAGCGGAAUUCCUAGUGUAGCGGUGAAAUGCGUAGAUAUUAGGAGGAACACCGGUGGCGAAGGCGGCUUACUGGACUGUAACUGACGUUGAGGCUCGAAGGCGUGGGGAGCAAACAGGAUUAGAUACCCCUGUAGUC